This 406-nucleotide ribosomal RNA is filed under the name uncultured bacterium. RNAcentral's name for it is "partial 16S ribosomal RNA". It matches the Rfam family "Bacterial small subunit ribosomal RNA", at positions 30 to 526 of the family's 1533-position model. The record is from RNAcentral.
AUUGAACGCUGGCGGCAGGCCUAACACAUGCAAGUCGAACGAGUGGCGGACGGGUGAGUAAUGUCUGGGAAACUGCCCGAUGGAGGGGGAUAACUACUGGAAACGGUAGCUAAUACCGCAUACCAUCGGAUGUGCCCAGAUGGGAUUAGCUAGUAGGUGGGGUAACGGCUCACCUAGGCGACGAUCCCUAGCUGGUCUGAGAGGAUGACCAGCCACACUGGAGCUGAGACACGAUCCAGAGUCCUACGGGAGGCAGCAGUGGGGAAUAUUGCACAAUAGACGCAAGCCUGAUACAGCCAUGCCGCGUGUAUGAAGAAGGCCUUCGGGUUGUAAAGUACUUUCAGCGAGGGGGCGUUACUCGCAGAAGAAGCACCGGCUAACUCCGUGCCAGCCGCCGCGGUAAUUC